ACCGUCGACAGUCAGGUAACGAGCGAGACCCCUGCGUCUAGUUGCUACCAUUACUCUCUGGAGCAGUGGAGCGAAUUAGACGGACCGCCACAGUUAAUGUGGAGGAAGGAAGGGGCCACGGCAGGUCAGUAUGCCCCGAAACCCUAGGGCUACACGCGGGCUGCAAUGGUAUUGACAAUGUGUUCCGAAUCCGAAAGGAGGAGGCAAUCAUCAAACAAUAUCUCAGUUAUGACUGAGGGCUGUAACCCGCCCUCACGAAUAUGGAAUCCCUAGUAACCGCGCGUCACUACCGCGCGGUGAAUACGUCCCUGCUCCUUGCACGAAUUCGCCG
Molecule: ribosomal RNA, 331 nt
Filed under: uncultured archaeon
Lineage: Archaea
Description: bacterial SSU rRNA
Rfam family: Archaeal small subunit ribosomal RNA
Source: RNAcentral